This 293-nucleotide unclassified non-coding RNA is filed under the name uncultured Mycenella. Its description in RNAcentral is "sequence contains ITS2". The stretch from base 1 to 52 matches the Rfam family "5.8S ribosomal RNA", at positions 103 to 154 of the family's 154-position model. The record is from RNAcentral. Lineage: Eukaryota; Fungi; Basidiomycota; Agaricomycetes; Agaricales; Tricholomataceae.
AACGCACCUUGCACCCUUUGGUAUUCCGAAGGGUAUGCCUGUUUGAGUGUCAUUAAAUUCUCAACCAUUGAACUUGUUUCUCUGGCUUGGAUGUGGGGGUUGCGGGCUUCGCAAAGAGGUCGGCUCUCCUUAAAUGCAUUAGUGGAAACCGCUUGCAGGAUUCAUUCACUUUUUGGCGUGAUAGUAUCGUCGUCAAAGGUAGUGUUCCGAGGUAUCUGCUCUCUAACCGUCCGCAAGGACUCUAUAAUGACUUGUUUGACCUCAAAUCAGGUAGGACUACCCGCUGAACUUAA